AUGGCAGCACCUAAGAUAGCCGGCGCCGCCAGCCCGCCACACAUAUGUAAAUCCCUUCCCCUGGACUUCUGCAAGUCACCACUCGUGGCAGUGCACGGGUGCUGCGGCGCAAGGCUACGAUGCGGAGCACAGCGGCUUGCAAGAGCUCCACAGCGCGCAGAAGCAUGGCGACAGGGGGGUGCGGCGAGAUGGGGCCCUCCAAGGCGACGCCCCCAAGGGGGAAGCAACGGGAACGACACAAAUGGCCACUCUGACCAAGGACAAAACUUGGGUCGGAGAGCCUGA
This 285-nucleotide ribosomal RNA is filed under the name Triticum aestivum (bread wheat). Its description in RNAcentral is "partial small subunit ribosomal RNA". The record is from RNAcentral. Lineage: Eukaryota; Viridiplantae; Streptophyta; Magnoliopsida; Poales; Poaceae.